GGAGCUGCUCUGCUCUCACAGUCCAUCUCUGGGCAGCAGCAGCUGCUGCUAGCGCGCCUCGCUCUUGCUUAUUUGACUGAAUGGUUUCCAGAGGAGUGGUGGUGGUUUGCUGGAGGAGAAUUUGACAUCUUUACCUGGAAGAGAUGGAAAGUGCUGCAUAUAUCAGCAGUAUCAUCCAAAGUGUCCUUACUUGACUAAGAUUUAAGGUAACUCAAAACUUCCCCUGCAUCCUAUAGGCUGAGCCCUGGUAGGCUGAAACAGAACAAGCUUGCUUCUUGCUGACUGAUGAAUUUAAAAUUAGUUCAGAGAGCUUACCCCCUCAGUCCAAUACUGCUGAUCCUCCCAACUUGUGAAGAAGGAAACAUCAAAUGCUGCUUUGCCUUCGUUGGACCUAGAGGGAAACCAGCAGCUCUGAAGAUGGGAGUUCAAACCAGAAAAACAGAGAAGACGAGAGUCCUGAAUUCCACUCCCAGUGAGAUAUAGCGACCAUCACUCAUGGAUUCAUAACCUCAAGGCAAGACUACUGUAGUGCCAACUGGCGAUGGUUUGGAGUAGAGGUUUUGUCCUGAGAGCGGGUGGAUUGCUGGAGACAGAGCCAGUACUCAAGUGCUUGAACUGACUUUAUGCUCAAUUCAAGAAAGAAAUAGGAUUCUACCAAGAGGCUGGUGCUGUACAAGUAAGUCAUGUGUCUGUGAACUGCAUAUUUCCAAACCCCAUCUUAGAGGCUGACUCAUACCAUAAAGAAAAUGGCAAAUCCAGGUUAUUUGGGGAAGGGGGUUGAUAAAGUGAGAAAUAUGAUUUGGAGGGAGCUGGGAGGUGAUGUCCAAGAAGUGGAAAGUGGUAAAUGAUUUGCAGCAAUGUCUUGGCUCCAGGCAUGGAGCUGGCUUUAUGUCUCCGAAUAAGGUCACAUCUAUUUUGUACGAUUAAAUUUAACCUGAUUGAAUAAUUA
Molecule: non-coding RNA, 949 nt
Organism: Podarcis muralis (Common wall lizard)
Lineage: Eukaryota; Metazoa; Chordata; Lepidosauria; Squamata; Lacertidae
Source: RefSeq, a predicted model, not a curated record